UAAUGCGUCGGAAUGUACCGUGUAAUGGGGGAUAGCUCGGCGAAAGCCGGAUUAAUACCGCAUACGCCCUGAGGGGGAAAGCGGGGGAUCGAAAGACCUCGCGUUAUACGAGCAGCCGACGUCUGAUUAGCUAGUUGGUGAGGUAAGAACUCACCAAGGCGACGAUCAGUAGCGGGUCUGAGAGGAUGAUCCGCCACACUGGGACUGAGACACGGCCCAGACUCCUACGGGAGGCAGCAGUGGGGAAUUUUUGGACAAGGUGGGGGCAACCCUGAUCCAGCCAUGCCGCGUGUCUGAAGAAGGCCUUCGGGUUGUAAAGGACUUUUGUCAGGGAGGAAAUCCCGCUGGUUAAUACCCGGCGGGGAUGACAGUAC
RNAcentral lists this ribosomal RNA (374 nucleotides) under Chromobacterium sp. 55. RNAcentral's name for it is "bacterial SSU rRNA". It matches the Rfam family "Bacterial small subunit ribosomal RNA", at positions 111 to 478 of the family's 1533-position model. The record is from RNAcentral. Lineage: Bacteria; Pseudomonadati; Pseudomonadota; Betaproteobacteria; Neisseriales; Chromobacteriaceae.